GAUGAACGCUGGCGGCGUGCCUAAUACAUGCAAGUCGAACGAGUUUUGAUUAUGGAAAGGUGCUGGCAUCUGAUUUAAUUUUGAACGAGUGGCGGACGGGUGAGUAACACGUGGGUAACCUGGCCCUUAAGUGGGGGAUAACAUUUGGAAACAGAUGCUAAUACCGCAUAAAUCCAAGAACCGCAUGGUUCUUGGCUGAAAGAUGGCGCAAGCUAUCGCUUUUGGAUGGACCCGCGGCGUAUUAGCUAGUUGGUGAGGUAACGGCUCACCAAGGCAAUGAUAGUAGCCGAACUGAGAGGUUGAUCGGCCACAUUGGGACUGAGACACGGCCCAAACUCCUCGGGAGGCAGCAGUAGGGAAUCUUCCACAAUGGACGCAAGUUGAUGGAGCAACGCCGGUGAGUGAAGAAGGCUUUUGGGUCGUAAAACUCUGUUGUUGGAGAAGAAUGGUCGGCAUGAGUAUU
Molecule: ribosomal RNA, 463 nt
Filed under: Lacticaseibacillus rhamnosus
Lineage: Bacteria; Bacillati; Bacillota; Bacilli; Lactobacillales; Lactobacillaceae
Description: bacterial SSU rRNA
Rfam family: Bacterial small subunit ribosomal RNA
Source: RNAcentral